GACGAACGCUGGCGGCGUGCCUAAUACAUGCAAGUCGAGCGAAGUUUUUCUGGUGCUUGCACUAGAACAACUUAGCGGCGAACGUGUGAGUAACACGUAAAGAACCUGCCUCAUAGACUGGGACAACUAUUGGAAACGAUAGCUAAUACCGGAUAACAGUAUUUCUCGCAUGGGAGAUACUUAAAAGUUGGUUAUGCUAACACUAUGAGAUGGCUUUGCGGUGCAUUAGCUAGUUGGUGGGGUAAAGGCCCACCAAGGCGACGAUGCAUAGCCGACCUGAGAGGGUGAUCGGCCACACUGGGACUGAGACACGGCCCAGACUCCUACGGGAGGCAGCAGUAGGGAAUCUUCCGCAAUGGGCGAAAGCCUGACGGAGCAACGCCGCGUGAGUGAAGAAGGAUUUCGGUUCGUAAAGCUCUGUUGUUAGGGAAGAAUGGAUAUGUAGUAACUAUACAUGUAAGAGACGGUACCUAACCAGAAAGCCACGGCUAACUACGUG
Molecule: ribosomal RNA, 499 nt
Filed under: uncultured bacterium
Lineage: Bacteria
Description: partial 16S ribosomal RNA
Rfam family: Bacterial small subunit ribosomal RNA
Source: RNAcentral